Andrographis paniculata is the source of this 739-nucleotide long non-coding RNA. RefSeq lists it as uncharacterized. NCBI's taxonomy places the organism in Eukaryota, Viridiplantae, Streptophyta, Magnoliopsida, Lamiales, Acanthaceae. The transcript is spliced from 4 exons. The record is from RefSeq and is a predicted model, not a curated record.
ACAAAAAUUUUAUUGUUUCUCUCCAUCGUUGAAAUUGUAGACAAACUCCGAUCGGACUCGUCCACCUAUUCUCCACUAUCGCCUCCACCCUUGCUCCGCCAUCACUGGUGAAAAGUAGCCCAGAAACAACCGUAAGCUGUCAACCUUCACCGCCUAGGUUCGAAGGCCCUCAUUCGCUCUACGUUUUAGGGCACAAAAUUGAUGGGUACAAAGAUGUUUCGGAUCUUCGGAUGAAGCUCUAGAUAUCCCUGGAAUACGUAUGAUGAUACCCUAGCCAUUGUCAAGGGAUUUGUUACCGAUGUUACGGUCCCGAAGACCGCACUUAUUCUCCCAAGUAAUGCCGGAGUAAAGAUCCUUGAUGAGUUGGUUCGCCGCCUUUGAUUGCUUCCUCUGUGAUUUUGAAUUCGAUGAGCUUGGUCGUUCAUAGCUGUGUUUGUUAGUUGACCUUAGGAUUGUACUGCAGUUUGAUACCAUAUUUAUUUAUUCACGUAUUACUUUUGGAUUUGUUGAUCAAGCGUUAGGAAGUUGUUAGUUGGUUGUUAUGGUGUAUGGCAUGGUGAUUUUUGGAGAUGCUUUAAAGCACAAUUGACGAAUAGUAUUCUAUUUUUGACAUGAAUAUGAAUAUUGUUGGAUUGAUGUUGUUCUGCAGGUAUGAACAAGGAUUCUAGAUUAAUUAUGAUAAAAUUAUGUUUUAAAUUAUUUGUGAUGCAGAUUGAUCCAUAACAAAUACUUUAGACAA